This 500-nucleotide ribosomal RNA is filed under the name uncultured cyanobacterium. Its description in RNAcentral is "bacterial SSU rRNA". It matches the Rfam family "Bacterial small subunit ribosomal RNA", at positions 356 to 869 of the family's 1533-position model. Lineage: Bacteria; Bacillati; Cyanobacteriota. The record is from RNAcentral.
GGGUAAUUUUCCGCAAUGGGCGAAAGCCUGACAGAGCAAGACCGCGUGAGGGAGGAAGGCUCUUGGGUUGUAAACCUCUUUUCUUGGGGAAUAAAAAAAUGAAGGUACCCAAGGAAUCAGCAUCGGCUAACUCCGUGCCAGCAGCCGCGGUAAUACGGAGGAUGCAAGCGUUAUCCGGAAUUAUUGGGCGUAAAGCGUCCGCAGGUGGCACUUCAAGUCUGCUGUCAAAGACCGGGGCUUAACCCUGGAAAGGCAGUGGAAACUGAAGCGCUAGAGUGUCGUAGGGGUAGAGGGAAUUCCUGGUGUAGCGGUGAAAUGCGUAGAGAUCAGGAAGAACAUCGGUGGCGAAAGCGCUCUACUGGACGACAACUGACACUCAGGGACGAAAGCUAGGGGAGCGAAUGGGAUUAGAUACCCCAGUAGUCCUAGCCGUAAACGAUGGAUACUAGGUGUGGCUUGUAUCGACCCGAGCCGUGCCGUAGCUAACGCGUUAAGUAUCC